Triangularia setosa is the source of this 115-nucleotide non-coding RNA. The record is from the annotation of a GenBank genome assembly. Lineage: Eukaryota; Fungi; Ascomycota; Sordariomycetes; Sordariales; Podosporaceae.
UCCCAUAUGGCGUAGUGGCUAGCAUACCAGACUUUCACCCCUGCUCCUGAUUAAUCAAAAUCAGGAGAUAUUCGAUAUACACUUGAAGUCCUGGGUUCAGUUCCCGGUUUGAGAA